Molecule: small RNA, 111 nt
Filed under: Desulfotomaculum sp.
Lineage: Bacteria; Bacillati; Bacillota; Clostridia; Eubacteriales; Desulfotomaculaceae
Also listed under: 1 other name
Description: Guanidine-I sequence
Rfam family: Guanidine-I riboswitch aptamer
About the family: This family represents a conserved RNA structure found upstream of the ykkC and yxkD genes in Bacillus subtilis and related genes in other bacteria.
Source: RNAcentral
AGAAAGUGUACCUAGGGUUCCACGCCCGCGCGGCGGGCGGUUCGGUCCGAGCGGUACAGGCGGCCGGGGAUGUCCGUCCGCUACACCGGCAGGGAGAAAAGCCCAGGCGGC